UCAGUCGGCUGGACGGUCGCUCCCGCAAGCACGGAAACGUCGCGGGGGAGGAAAGUCCGGGCUCCACGGAAAAACGGUGCCGGGUAACACCCGGCGGGGGCGACCCCAGGGAAAGUGCCACAGAAAGCAAACCGCCAUGGCCCAGGCCACGGCAAGGGUGAAAGGGUGGGGUAAGAGCCCACCGCGCGACCGGCAACGGAAGCGGCACGGUAAACCCCACCGGGAGCAAAACCGAAUAGGGGCGACGGGGGACCUUCGGGUUCCGGCCCGUUUCCAGGCCAGUCGUCCGGGUAGGUUGCGUGAGGCGUUCGGCAACGAACGUCCCAGAUGAAUGGUCGUCGCGUGCGGCGCUUGCGUCGCGCCAUACAGAACCCGGCUUAGAGGCCGACUGACACU
Molecule: non-coding RNA, 396 nt
Organism: Stappia sp. ES.058
Lineage: Bacteria; Pseudomonadati; Pseudomonadota; Alphaproteobacteria; Hyphomicrobiales; Stappiaceae
Rfam family: Bacterial RNase P class A
About the family: Ribonuclease P (RNase P) is a ubiquitous endoribonuclease, found in archaea, bacteria and eukarya as well as chloroplasts and mitochondria.
Source: Rfam